RNAcentral lists this ribosomal RNA (446 nucleotides) under uncultured bacterium. RNAcentral's name for it is "partial 16S ribosomal RNA". It matches the Rfam family "Bacterial small subunit ribosomal RNA", at positions 338 to 795 of the family's 1533-position model. The record is from RNAcentral.
CCUACGGGAGGCAGCAGUCGAGAAUCACUCACAAUGGGGGAAACCCUGAUGGUGCGACGCCGCGUGGGGGAAUGAAGGUCUUCGGAUUGUAAACCCCUGUCGUGUGGGAGCAAAUUAAAAAGAUAGUACCACAAGAGGAAGAGACGGCUAACUCUGUGCCAGCAGCAGAGGUAAUACAGAGGUCUCAAGCGUUGUUCGGAAUCACUGGGCGUAAAGCGUGCGUAGGCUGUUUCGUAAGUCGUGUGUGAAAGGCGCGGGCUCAACCCGCGGACGGCACAUGAUACUGCGAGACUAGAGUAAUGGAGGGGGAACCGGAAUUCUCGGUGUAGCAGUGAAAUGCGUAGAUAUCGAGAGGAACACUCGUGGCGAAGGCGGGUUCCUGGACAUUAACUGACGCUGAGGCACGAAGGCCAGGGGAGCGAAAGGGAUUAGAUACCCGGGUAGUC